UUCCCCGUGGUGUAAUCGGCAACACUUCGGUUUUUGGUACCGACAUUCUAGGUUCGAGUCCUGGCGGGGAAG
Molecule: transfer RNA, 72 nt
Filed under: Corynebacterium atypicum
Lineage: Bacteria; Bacillati; Actinomycetota; Actinomycetes; Mycobacteriales; Corynebacteriaceae
Description: tRNA-Gln
Rfam family: tRNA
About the family: Transfer RNA (tRNA) molecules are approximately 80 nucleotides in length. Their secondary structure includes four short double-helical elements and three loops (D, anti-codon, and T loops). Further hydrogen bonds mediate the characteristic L-shaped molecular structure. tRNAs have two regions of fundamental functional importance: the anti-codon, which is responsible for specific mRNA codon recognition, and the 3' end, to which the tRNAs corresponding amino acid is attached (by aminoacyl-tRNA synthetases). tRNAs cope with the degeneracy of the genetic code in two manners: having more than one tRNA (with a specific anti-codon) for a particular amino acid; and 'wobble' base-pairing, i.e. permitting non-standard base-pairing at the 3rd anti-codon position.
Source: RNAcentral